AUGAAGAGGCUUGACUCAAUUAUAGGAAGAUAACUAAGAGGGUCUUGGAGAAAGAAGAUUGUGACUUGUAAGAGUUAUAGAAUCCAGGAACAAUAUCUGGACUACUUACAGUAGACUAAGUGAGAAGUAAGGGUGUUUUGACCCAGGGCAGUAGGAGUAGGGACAGAACCACAAUACACUUCAGACUUGAUGAUGGGUAGAUACGAGGGAUGAAGGGAAGAAGAAUCCUGGAACCAUUCUAGAACUUUAACCUACUGUGACAACUUAACUUUGGUGGGGAGUCAGAACUUUUGUGUUGGGGCAGGAGGAACUAAAGAGGUCAGAUGGAACUACCAAAAAAUACACACAGCUCAGAGAAAGGUCGGAGGAUACACAACAUGAAGAGUGUCUGCUUGCUUAGGAGCAGAGUGUCCUGUUUGCCCAGUAGACUAGGCUGUGCUUCACACCCAAGGAGCACUCCUGGCAGUGACCCUCUCAGGGAGUGAGUGUGUAAGCUGUGCCAUCCUCAACCCCCAAGUCGUGUGUACUCUCAUGAUCUGCGAAGUGAACGUUAUCUCCUUUUUUAUUGACGAGGCACACAGAGGGCAGCAUGGGACAGAGACAGGCUGGAAUCCAUCUCGGCGACUGCCCAGACCAGGGUGGCAGUGCGCAGGAGUCGAGUCUAGGAACAGCCCGGUGAUUUUAAUUUGGUGCUUGUGCCAAGGCCAGGUUCCAGUCAAAACUGGAGAGCGAGCAGGUGAGACAAGUGAGACUGGACCGGUAGAGAUGGUUCGCUUAGCGCAAUGUGUCCACUUCCAGGUGUUCUCUCCAGAUGUGGCCAGACAGACCACAUGCACAUGGCUGCCUGGACGCUCUGGAGGGGCUUUUCACACACAGUGUGCUCACCAGCGAAUGUGUGUACAGAGAAAAGGAUGCCAAGAAGGGUCAGCUGCAACUGCUGUCCAGGUUGUUAGGCAAAACUUCUUGAUUGGCUGGAAAAAAUACACAAAUCUCAAUUUUCAAGAUUAUCUAUUAAAAUUAAAUCCUGCAGAAAAGACACUGAAUCUUUGUAAAAUGUUUUUUUGGGCAGAGCCAUGCUAGGGAUUGAACCCAGGACCUCCACACUGAGCUAUGUCUUCCACCCCACUCCCACUUUUGAGACAGUCAUAUGAAAUCACUAAGAUGCUCUACUAGGCUGGAACUUGCAGUCUUCCUUCCUCAGCUUCCCAGAGGCUGAGAUUAGAGGUGUGCACCAUCAUGCCCAACUAAAAUGCCUUUUUCCUUUAUCUGCACAUGUGUGUUCACAAGGCAUCUCCUCAUUCUCACACUCAGACACAUUGCUAGAGUAAGGUUGUGUCCAACAUAUCCAGAAACAAACUGGAAAAUGAAGCAGCUCCCAGAGGACAUGUCUCUGCAGGAUUUCAAAUACAACACUCCGUCUCUGCUGCUCAUCGCCAUGUCUCGGGUUUUCUUCCCAGAUUGUACCAAAACAGUGCCAGGACUUGCAUGGAAAUGAGAUAAGAACACUCCAGGCAGAGCACCCAGCAGGGGACACAGGACAUACAGCGAGUGGACAGUGACCAUGACAGGAAAAAUUCAGAAUGAAAAGGGAAAUAGCAGCGAAAGUUUUUGAAAGAAUGGGUAGAGUCAGAUCAUUCGGGCCUGGGGUUUAGGACAGUUAACCUGUGCUUUAAACAUCAAGAAUCAUGGCAGGUUUUUGUAGCAAAAGUAACACGACCAGAACUUUGCUCCAGGAAGAUAAACACAGCAGGUGUGUGAAGUAUUCAAAGUAGGGAGAAA
RNAcentral lists this long non-coding RNA (1779 nucleotides) under Chinchilla lanigera (long-tailed chinchilla). Its description in RNAcentral is "lncRNA (ENSCLAG00000023577.1)". Lineage: Eukaryota; Metazoa; Chordata; Mammalia; Rodentia; Chinchillidae. The record is from RNAcentral.